This 363-nucleotide ribosomal RNA is filed under the name Micrathena nr. sexspinosa IA-2014. Its description in RNAcentral is "partial 16S ribosomal RNA". It matches the Rfam family "Bacterial large subunit ribosomal RNA", at positions 1930 to 2564 of the family's 2925-position model. The record is from RNAcentral. Lineage: Eukaryota; Metazoa; Arthropoda; Arachnida; Araneae; Araneidae.
GCCGCGGAAAUUUAACCGUGCUAAGGUAGCAUAAUCAUUAGCCCUCUAAUUAAGGGCUCGUAUGAACGAUGUAACACUUCAUUAUCUUUUUUAAUUUUUUAUAUUUAAUUUAAAUUAAGAAUUAAAAUGUUCUUAUUAAUUUAUUAGACGACAAGACCCUAUUGAACUUUACUUAAGUUUUACUGGGGCAGUAAAAAAAAUAAAAUUUUUUUUUAAUAUUUUAAAAUAAAUGACCCAAUAUAUUUGAUUAUAUGCAUAAGUUACCAUAGGGAUAACAGCGUAAUUAAUUUUUAAAGCUCUUAUUUAAAAAAAAAGAUUGCGACCUCGAUGUUGAAUUAAUGAUACUUUUUUAUGCAGUAAUAA